AGACGUAGGGCGCGAGCGUUGUCCGGAUUUAUUGGGCGUAAAGAGCUCGUAGGCGGCUUGUCGCGUCGACUGUGAAAACCCGCAGCUCAACUGCGGGCCUGCAGUCGAUACGGGCAGGCUAGAGUUCGGUAGGGGAGACUGGAAUUCCUGGUGUAGCGGUGAAAUGCGCAGAUAUCAGGAGGAACACCGGUGGCGAAGGCGGGUCUCUGGGCCGAUACUGACGCUGAGGAGCGAAAGCGUGGGGAGCGAACAGGAUUAGAUACCCUGGUAGUCCACGCUGUAAACGUUGGGCGCUAGGUGUGGGGGGCCUCUCCGGUUCCCUGUGCCGCAGCUAACGCAUUAAGCGCCCCGCCUGGGGAGUACGGCCGCAAGGCUAAA
Molecule: ribosomal RNA, 378 nt
Filed under: uncultured bacterium
Lineage: Bacteria
Description: bacterial SSU rRNA
Rfam family: Bacterial small subunit ribosomal RNA
Source: RNAcentral